Triticum dicoccoides is the source of this 2195-nucleotide long non-coding RNA. RefSeq lists it as uncharacterized. The transcript is spliced from 3 exons. NCBI's taxonomy places the organism in Eukaryota, Viridiplantae, Streptophyta, Magnoliopsida, Poales, Poaceae. The record is from RefSeq and is a predicted model, not a curated record.
UUGAGUUUACUCUCAUUGCCCACUCUGAUGUUACUGUCUUGAAGCAUUAGUUCAACAUAUAAUUAAUGCUCUAAUUAUUUUCUUUUUUUUGACCACAAAAAAGGAAGAUAUUUUGCUUUUUCAACUUGGCAAUUAGAUGAGACUGAGGGAGAAGAAUCCCCACCAGUUUUCAUUAUAAGUUAGAAUGUGGGGGGAUUCGUGUGCAGAGUGAAACCUUGUCUCGCUAGCAAUUUCCUCUAGGAGAGCUCCCCAAACUUGGUAACUGAUGAUUGGGGGUAUAAUUCUUUUACAUUGCCAGUUUUGGCAACUAUUUAGGUGGGUGGUCUUUAAAUUGUACAAUGUGUGAAAUGCCGUGGUUAUGCUUUUGGUUCUGUCUGAUCUAUACUGAAAGUGCUUUUGGAGUGAUAUAGUCAGAGGAGAUUCAUGUUUUUCCUCUGCCGGAACAUACAAAAUUCAAUGGCCUGUUGAGCCAUGAAUACAAGCUUCUAAUAUUUUUCUUGUGUUAUUUCUGUAAGGUUAUUUUGGAAAACUUGCAGUUAAACUGCGAAAAGUUGCACAAGGUAGCUUGGUUCAUUUUUUAGUCAACUUUCAUGUGGGGUAUGCAUGAUUAUAACUGCUGGCUUGGCUUGGCAAGCAGGGCGUUCCCAGCACACCAAACCUUAGUAACACUAUCAAUUCAGAAGGGCAUUAUGUGCACAGUUUCUCUAGGCAUUAAGUUCCAUUUUCUUGCCUUGUUGUAAUUAGACCUUCCUCGUUGUUUGUCUUUGCCUCCUAAGCUUAUAUUGCUCCUUUUUUAUGUAUAUAUAUGUUUGUUGUUGUUGAGGAAGGUUUUGUGGGGAAAUUAUAUGCUAGCUUGUAAGUGAGCACAACAUCUGCUUAAAUACACCUGUAGUUUGAUCAACUUGAAUCUGCAAAUUUAUCAAGAAAGAAUGCAUUUUCAGUUGGCUGUGUUGAAUGCAUAGGUUUUAUCUAGCUACCACAUAAAAGGCCUCUGCUAACCCUACCAUAUCUUGAACUACAUCCUGCUAGAGUUCAUAGUCUAUGAGACUCUUGGAGCUGCAGGGCGGAAAUGUAGAUGCUUGUUGUGAACUAACAGUCCCUUCUCAACUGCAUGUGCUGGGUUCUGUGUAUACAUAUGCUACCAGUCAGGGCUUUAGAGGAUAGAGUAGCUUCAUAGAAAGGAGUUAGACAUCCAUAUUUUAGCCGAUAUUUUUCUUGUUGUACAUUGUUCAGUUGAACUUUCUUGAACUAGUUUACGAUGUUGUUAGCCCAAAAACCUACCAGUUAAAAAGCAUGAUAGAUCCAUCAAUAGGACAUGCUAAAUCCUAAAUAUAACACUUUUGAUCCUUUUCUAUGUUGGAAUUCGGUUAAUGAGUUUCCAUUAUUCUUAUCUGUUCAGGAUGAACAAGAUAAGUUGCGAAGCCCCCCUUAAAACACGGGCGCUGAGUGGUUUUUUUAACUUCAUCACCAUAGCGUUCAAAGUGAUCUUGACCCUCCACAUAUCCAUGCACAAGCGAGCAAGAACAGCCAAUUUGUCGAAACGGCAGCGCUAAUUCUGGGCCUCCCUGUAUCAUGCGCGUGCUAUUCACGGCGCAGAGGAGGAGAUGCUGUGGUAAUAUGUGGUGGUCGGCCAGGAGAAACAGGCGUACUACAAGCAGGUGCAGGAUCUUCCAGCAGAUUAAUCUGUAGGCAAUAAUUCCCAUGGCCAAGGGGGCCAAGCCUCCUGUUGCUCCUCCAUCCAUCAUUUGGGCUUAGCUAAUAUUCAAAGGAUUGUUGGGGUGAUAAUGAAGAUGGCACUCGCCAUCGCUUUGGCCUGGAAGUUCUUGGCAAACGAUAAUGAUGAUCGGCGUGCAAUGCAUAGAUGGGCCACAGCAAGAAUGGAGUGUUGCUGUGUGCAUGAACCAAAGCUUUAAUUUCUCAUAUCUUUUGCUGUCAAGUGGCUGAUGCAUAUUGAAUUUGAAGGCCCGGGCUACCAGCAAUUGCUGUGAUGCUUCCUCAGCAAAGUGGUCUUAUGCAGCCUCAUCAGUCGGCUUCAAGUUCAGGCAAGAAGUCAGUGGCUUGUUUCUAGUUUUCAGUUCUUUCGUAUGAAUAUCGCAUCUUGGCUACUUUCCGGAGAUAUGAAUUGGAAAGGAACUCAAUACUGAAAGAUCUGAAAAGGGGGGAUUUGCUAUCUAGUAAAGCAUAAUACCAGAUGC